RNAcentral lists this RNase P RNA (287 nucleotides) under Deltaproteobacteria bacterium. RNAcentral describes it as "partial RNase P RNA component class A". It matches the Rfam family "Bacterial RNase P class A", at positions 1 to 277 of the family's 367-position model. Rfam says of the family: Ribonuclease P (RNase P) is a ubiquitous endoribonuclease, found in archaea, bacteria and eukarya as well as chloroplasts and mitochondria. Its best characterised activity is the generation of mature 5'-ends of tRNAs by cleaving the 5'-leader elements of precursor-tRNAs. Lineage: Bacteria; Pseudomonadati; Myxococcota; Myxococcia. The record is from RNAcentral.
AGAGCAGGCCGGAUGGCCGCUGCUUUGCUUUGCUGCAAAGGGGAGGAAAGUCCGGGCUCCGCAGGACAGGAUGCUGGAUAACGUCCAGUCCCGGUGACGGGAAGGAAAGUGCAACAGAAAGCAUACCGCCUCUCUCCCGGCCCUGCCGGGGGUUAUGGUAAGGGUGAAAUGGUGAGGUAAGAGCUCACCGUCCUGGCGGUGACGUCAGGGGCUUGGCAAACCCCAUCCGGAGCAAGACCAAAUAAGGAGGAGCAUGAGGGUGGUCCGCCCGAUCCUCCGGGUAGAUC